RNAcentral lists this transfer RNA (87 nucleotides) under Thermoplasmata archaeon. Its description in RNAcentral is "tRNA-Ser". It matches the Rfam family "tRNA". Rfam says of the family: Transfer RNA (tRNA) molecules are approximately 80 nucleotides in length. The record is from RNAcentral. Lineage: Archaea; Methanobacteriati; Thermoplasmatota; Thermoplasmata.
GCGGGGAUGGCCCAGCCCGGUAAGGCGUAGGAUUGCUAAUCCUAUGUUCGCAAGAACUCAGGGGUUCAAAUCCCCUUCCCCGCGCCA